This 468-nucleotide ribosomal RNA is filed under the name uncultured bacterium. RNAcentral describes it as "partial 16S ribosomal RNA". It matches the Rfam family "Bacterial small subunit ribosomal RNA", at positions 28 to 507 of the family's 1533-position model. The record is from RNAcentral.
GACGAACGCUGGCGGCGUGCUUAACACAUGCAAGUCGAACGGAAAGGCCCUGCUUUUGUGGGGUGCUCGAGUGGCGAACGGGUGAGUAACACGUGAGUAACCUGCCCUUGACUUUGGGAUAACUUCAGGAAGCUGGGGCUAAUACCGGAUAGGAGCUCCUGCUGCAUGGGGGGGGUUGGAAAGUUUCGGCGGUUUGGGAUGGACUCGCGGCUUAUCAGCUUGUUGGUGGGGUAGUGGCUUACCAAGGCUUUGACGGGUGGCCGGCCUGGGAGGGUGGCCAGCGACAUUGGGACUGAGAGACGGCGCAGACUCCUACGGGAGGCAGCAGUGGGGAAUAUUACACAAUGGGCGGAAGCCUGAUGCAGCAGCGCCGCGUGCGGGAUGACGGCCUUCGGGUUGUAAACCGCUUUCGCCUGUGACGAAGCGUGAGUGACGGUAAUGGGUAAAGAAGCACCGGCUAACUACGUG